CUGGGGUUAUGGCUCAGUGGUAGAGUGCUUGCCUUGCACGUGUGAGGCACUGGGUUCGAUCCUCAGCACCACAGA
This 75-nucleotide transfer RNA is filed under the name Marmota monax (woodchuck). RNAcentral describes it as "tRNA.Ala". Lineage: Eukaryota; Metazoa; Chordata; Mammalia; Rodentia; Sciuridae. The record is from RNAcentral.